This 496-nucleotide ribosomal RNA is filed under the name uncultured bacterium. RNAcentral's name for it is "partial 16S ribosomal RNA". It matches the Rfam family "Bacterial small subunit ribosomal RNA", at positions 28 to 506 of the family's 1533-position model. The record is from RNAcentral.
GAUGAACGCUGGCGGCGUGCCUAAUACAUGCAAGUCGAGCGAACAGACGAGGGGCUUGCUCCUCUGACGUUAGCGGCGGACGGGUGAGUAACACGUGGAUAACCUACCUAUAAGACUGGGAUAACUUCGGGAAACCGGAGCUAAUACCGGAUAAUAUAUUGAACCGCAUGGUUCAAUAGUGAAAGACGGUUUUGCUGUCACUUAUAGAUGGAUCCGCGCCGCAUUAGCUAGUUGGUAAGGUAACGGCUUACCAAGGCAACGAUGCGUAGCCGACCUGAGAGGGUGAUCGGCCACACUGGAACUGAGACACGGCCCAGACUCCUACGGGAGGCAGCAGUAGGGAAUCUUCCGCAAUGGGCGAAAGCCUGACGGAGCAACGCCGCGUGAGUGAUGAAGGUCUUCGGAUCGUAAAACUCUGUUAUUAGGGAAGAACAAAUGUGUAAGUAACUAUGCACGUCUUGACGGUACCUAAGCAGAAAGCCACGGCUAACUACGU